AGUUGCGAACGGGUGAGUAACGCGUAGGURACCUGCCUUGUAGCGGGGGAUAACUAUUGGAAACGAUAGCUAAUACCGCAUAACAGCUUUUGACACAUGUUAGAAGCUUGAAAGAUGCAAUUGCAUCACUACGAGAUGGACCUGCGUUGUAUUAGCUAGUAGGUAGGGUAACGGCCUACCUAGGCGACGAUACAUAGCCGACCUGAGAGGGUGAUCGGCCACACUGGGACUGAGACACGGCCCAGACUCCUACGGGAGGCAGCAGUAGGGAAUCUUCGGCAAUGGGGGCAACCCUGACCGAGCAACGCCGCGUGAGUGAAGAAGGUUUUCGGAUCGUAAAGCUCUGUUGUAAGAGAAGAA
Molecule: ribosomal RNA, 360 nt
Filed under: Streptococcus sp.
Lineage: Bacteria; Bacillati; Bacillota; Bacilli; Lactobacillales; Streptococcaceae
Description: bacterial SSU rRNA
Rfam family: Bacterial small subunit ribosomal RNA
Source: RNAcentral